UCUCUCUCGCUGUCUUUGGCAAUGGUAGAACUCACACUGGUGAGGUAUCAGGAUCCGGUGGUUCUAGACUUGCCAACUACCGCCCGAGGGUACA
This is a microRNA precursor of Chelonoidis abingdonii (Abingdon island giant tortoise), 94 nucleotides long. NCBI's taxonomy places the organism in Eukaryota, Metazoa, Chordata, Testudines, Testudinidae. The record is from Ensembl.